This 508-nucleotide ribosomal RNA is filed under the name uncultured bacterium. Its description in RNAcentral is "partial 16S ribosomal RNA". It matches the Rfam family "Bacterial small subunit ribosomal RNA", at positions 28 to 507 of the family's 1533-position model. The record is from RNAcentral.
GACGAACGCUGGCGGCGUGCCUAAUACAUGCAAGUCGAACGCUUCUUUCCUCCCGAGUGCUUGCACUCAAUUGGAAAGAGGAGUGGCGGACGGGUGAGUAACACGUGGGUAACCUACCCAUCAGAGGGGGAUAACACUUGGAAACAGGUGCUAAUACCGCAUAACAGUUUAUGCCGCAUGGCAUAAGAGUGAAAGGCGCUUUCGGGUGUCGUUGAUGGAUGGACCCGCGGUGCAUUAGCUAGUUGGUGAGGUAACGGCUCACCAAGGCCACGAUGCAUAGCCGACCUGAGGGGGUGAUCGGCCACACUGGGACUGAGACACGGCCCAGACUCCUACGGGAGGCAGCAGUAGGGAAUCUUCGGCAAUGGACGAAAGUCUGACCGAGCAACGCCGCGUGAGUGAAGAAGGUUUUCGGAUCGUAAAACUCUGUUGUUAGAGAAGAACAAGGACGUUAGUAACUGAACGUCCCCUGACGGUAUCUAACCAGAAAGCCACGGCUAACUACGUG